GACGAUCGCUGUCGGCGUGCCUAAUACAUGCAAGUAGAACGCACUUGCCAACGGGUGAGUAACGCGUAGGUAACUGCCUCAUCGCGGGGGAUAACUAAUUGAAACGAUAGCUAAUACCGCAUACUGUGAGAUGGACCUGCGUUGUAUUAGCUAGUUGGUGAGGUAAAGGCUCACCAAGGCGUACAUACAUCGCCGACCGGAGCAGGUGAUCUGCCAGACGGGGAGUGAGGCACGGCCCCGCCUCCGACGGGAGGCAGCAGUAGGGAGACUGCGGCAAUGGACGGAAGUCUGACCGAGCAACGCCGCGUGAGUGAAGAAGGUUUUCGGAUCGUAAAGCUCUGUUGGUAGAGAAGCGGUAACUAACCAGAAAGGGACGGCUGACUACGUGCCAGCCGCCGCGGUAAUAC
RNAcentral lists this ribosomal RNA (407 nucleotides) under uncultured bacterium. Its description in RNAcentral is "partial 16S ribosomal RNA". It matches the Rfam family "Bacterial small subunit ribosomal RNA", at positions 28 to 526 of the family's 1533-position model. The record is from RNAcentral.